RNAcentral lists this ribosomal RNA (468 nucleotides) under uncultured bacterium. RNAcentral describes it as "partial 16S ribosomal RNA". It matches the Rfam family "Bacterial small subunit ribosomal RNA", at positions 28 to 507 of the family's 1533-position model. The record is from RNAcentral.
GACGAACGCUGGCGGCGUGCUUAACACAUGCAAGUCGAACGGAAAGGCCCUGCUUUUGUGGGGUGCUCGAGUGGCGAACGGGUGAGUAACACGUGAGUAACCUGCCCUUGACUUUGGGAUAACUUCAGGAAACUGGGGCUAAUACCGGAUAGGCGCUCCUGCUGCAUGGUGGGGGUUGGAAAGUUUCGGCGGUUGGGGAUGGACUCGCGGCUUAUCAGCUUGUUGGUGGGGUAGUGGCUUACCAAGGCUUUGACGGGUAGCCGGCCUGAGAGGGUGACCGGCCACAUUGGGACUGAGAUACGGCCCAGACUCCUACGGGAGGCAGCAGUGGGGAAUAUUGCACAAUGGGCGGAAGCCUGAUGCAGCAACGCCGCGUGCGGGAUGACGGCCUUCGGGUUGUAAACCGUUUUCGCCUGUGACGAAGCGUGAGUGACGGUAAUGGGUAAAGAAGCACCGGCUAACUACGUG